Long non-coding RNA from Passer domesticus (house sparrow), 4706 nucleotides. RefSeq lists it as uncharacterized. The transcript is spliced from 7 exons. Lineage: Eukaryota; Metazoa; Chordata; Aves; Passeriformes; Passeridae. The record is from RefSeq and is a predicted model, not a curated record.
CACUGGCUUUCAAGGGCAACUUCUGCUUAAUUGCCAUCCUCCUCCCACUCACCCUCCCCCUCUGAUUAUGUACAUGCAUCGUUGGGCUUCAUGGACGUGGAAAGUGGAGCAAAGGAAGGUUUGGGAGCCAUGUCUCUGCGGCGGUGGUCACAGAUGCAGUACACUAUGAUUCCCGAAAAGACGGCCCCCAUGACAAAAGCAAGAAUAACAGCAAUGGCCAACAGGGUGACUGGCACCAGCUGAUCAUGACCUUUCAGGGUGAUUUUGUUUAUCAGCUUGUUCAGAUUUGGAGACAUACUUUACCUGCCAGCUACAUCAUCCAUGUGUAGCCUUCAGCUUUCAGAUCUGGAGCUGAAGACUACAAAAUUCAGGAGGCGAAAGGGAAUUCACGUGCAGGACAAGUUGACCUCUGUGCUGAAGCUUAUGCUUUCUGCUCUAAAAGACCUGACCUGGUGCCUCAUCCUGUGGUUGGAGGUCACUGUCAAAUCCUCCUUGGCCAUCCAAGCACCUGCUGUCUGAGAAGGCACCUUUGGCAGAGUGCACCUCCUCCAUCUGAAGUCCCUAAUGCAGCAUGAAUGAACACCUUGAAUGUCCAAAUUGUGUUCUUACUGUUUACAAAGAGCAGCCACAGUUUGACAAGGAACUGAAGGAGCAUCUCUCCCACCUCUUCUUCCAGAGAGGGCCCAAGUGCCAGGGGAUUAAAAGCUCCACAUGCUCAAAGGAAAUAGUUGUCCUUAUUUCAGGAGAGACAGCAAGGAAGAAAAUACAACUCCAAGGAUCUCCUGAGACUUUAUGAAGAUGCAACUCCUAAAAUAAGGUUUUUUCAUGUUUUUGGCACAGAAGCCAGUGUACCCUGCACUGUAACAGUCUGGAACACGCAAAAUCACCUCUUCUUACUCAUCUAAUGAGAGAGAAGACCUGAUAUGGUAUUAUGUUAUACUAUGCUAUGCAUAAUUGAUUCCUUCUUCCAGCAGAGCUUCUAGAGAUAAAGCUGAAUGCUGUCUGCAAAAAGAGACCAGUGCUCUUUACGUUCCUUGUUAUGAGCCACGAUUGCACAAACCUCGGCACGGGCUGUGGCGAAUGUAGGAGGUUCAGUGUGGACAGCAGGCAGAAGAAGGGACAGAGGGACUCCUGCACUGUGCCCUCCUUUGAGAGGCACUAACUGGGACUCAAUCAGCAAUGAAUGCACAUAGAGAAUUGCUGAGCUGUUUGAUGGGAGCUAUGAGCUGGUAGCUGAAAUAAAUUUCUCCAGUGCUGGCCAUGGCCUCAAAGUCACUACUGAUGGCCUCUUCUGCACCACUUGGUAAGACCACUUCUGUGAGCAUCCUUAAAAACCAGUGGUACUCAGUCCACCCAGCACCGUGGCUUCUGUUGCACUCACCCUGCUUGCUUGCAAACAGGAAGUUGGUAUUUAUUUAAGAAUAAGAUUUACUGAUUUAAAUAACAAGAAAACAUCAAAAACAUAUUCGCUUGUCAAAAGACUUUUAGAAUUAUUUUAGUGAAGGCUUUGGUCAGGUGUUUUUGCACAUGCUUAAAUUCUCUGUAUGUGUGGGUACUGUUUGUGUUCAGCAACUGCAGAUCUUUCAGGCUCUCCAAAAAUACCACUCUAUGUCUUUCUAAAGGACAUGAUAGUGGAUAGCAGUAGCUUUGUAGGGCUUCAAAAAUGUGCCUGCUUUCCCCCAACUGCCUUUUUUUAUAUAACAGCUGCUCUUUUAUUUUCUAUCACAAUUGUGGGUAAGAUGGGAUGGAACAUGAACAAGAUGGCAUAUUAUUGACAGCAUGCAGCUGGUGUUAUAUUCCAAUUAAAAAAUCCUUGAUGGGUAUAUGAAAGAACUGUCUAGUUUAUGCCCAGUUGUGACAAUGCUAACAAGCUGCCCCCUCAGCUGAGAUUUUAUUUCACAGAAGAGAAGCAAUCUUUGGUUGCUAGUAGAAGAACAAUAGUUUAAUAUCCUGGCCAACACAAAAUUGGUGAUGAAUAUGCUGUUAGCCAUUUCCAAAUGUUUGCUGUAUUGUAUAGCCGUGCCAGAAAUUCUUCUUAAUUCUUCUUCUUCCUGAGCAACUACUCUAUAAACUGCCCUAAGCCCUUCUAAUGCCAAUGGAGCUGUUAAAAUCCACUUGAGCAGGUACCCUGACUUAUUCUGGUCUGCUGGGGCAAGGUGAGUUAUCAGACUAUCAACUGGUGGUUUAAGAACACCAAUACUAAGUGUACACAGAGUUGUUUGUGCAUUUAGUUGCCUAACUGUAACAAGUCUCUUCUGGGCAUAAGGGACUGAGAAUUUAAAAAAAAAAAACCUUACAGCUUUGCCAAAUAGAACUCCUUUUCUUUUCCCUCACAGGGAUGUGAGGAUGCACAUUUUUGAUACAGUGGUAAAUUUGCACUAUCUGCUUCAAAACUUCUCAAUAAAGUGCCCUUAAGACACAUUUUUGUAACAUGAGAAUAACAACAUGUCUUUUCCCUAUCCUCUCUCUCAGCCACUGGCACAAUUUUGGAGCACACGAUUAAAGUCUAGCAAAAGUAGUAGCAAUGGCAACCAGAUAGCAGAGGGUACAGUGCCUCACUAAAUGACUGUUAAAGAGUUUGAAGGAACAUCUCUCUAAACACCUGACUAAAUGAAAGAAAUUCAGAGAAACAACUGCUUCCCAAACACAAUGACAUUUGUUAUCUGUAUUUAAUGUUCAAUAAAACUGAGAUUGCAAAACCUAAAUUAUGCUCCCUCCAGGUUUUUAAUUUUUUAAUUAACUACAUGCUGUUGAUCAGUAAGCACCAGCCCAUGCUGACAGAAGGAAUUAAGUGUGCCUAUUUUCCAGACAAAGAAAAAUAAGAAAAAUGGAAAAGUUAUUUGGGAUCCUUCCUACAUAAUUAAAGAGAUAUUGAUAGCCAUUAACUAAAAGUUAAUGAAUAUGAGAAAAAUGUAGGUGGUGUUUUUGACAGGGCAGGUAAUUAGACAGUUGACAGUUUACAGACCAUAUUAACAGUGCUCUGAACCAGGACUGUCAAUGUUUAGGUCAUUGUAAAAUUACCACAUCACAUCUGAACUAUUAAUUAAUACAGUAAUUGAAACUAGGCACAUCCUAUAUGAGAAAAACAAAUUAUUCAAAUAUCUUUAACAGCAUAUUGACAUUUUAAUUGCACACUGGCAUUAACAAAACUAAAAGGUGCUUUAAAUAUCUUUCACCUACUAGAUUUUCUCCUAUUAAAUCCCUUUGAAUGUCAAAUCAGUUUCAGAAAUUUCUUGUUUAAAGGGCCAGACUGUCCUCCCAAUUCAGCAUCUUUAUUUAGCACAACAUCUCCUUAUAAUCAAUAUAAACAUCACAAAAAUGAAACUGGGUAACCUGUCCACCAGCUAUGCCUUGCUAUUUCUAGAUGAGUAGUGGCUCUGUGGUGCAAGCACAUCCUACAGCGAAUUUCCAGCUCUUGAUAAAUAUGUCAGUGCUACAAAGGUCAAACAAGAACACGAGGCAGUCUGUGUUCCUCCACUGAGCCAUCCUCACCGGGUGACAGUGGAUGAAUGCAGCUGGGGGUCUGGUCCAUCACACAAUAGCUCUAGUGCCCUGAACCCACAGCAGCUGCCGUGACAAAUUAGAUGUGGCCUCUUUUAUUGAAAAAGCACAUCAGGGUCCUGGGGCAAUGACUGUUUUUCCCUCUUUUAGUAAGACAACCCUCUACAGCUCAUUGCAGCCUGGAAAUGGACAGCCUGACUUGAAAUCUGUGCAGGUGGACAAUUAUGGGUCAAGGAUACCUGCUGUUUCCAGAAGCCACAUUUGAGAACAUCUAUUUUAAACUUCACCAUUCUUUUAUUUGUAGGAUCUAAUGUGGGAGCACAGAAGCUCUGUUUUCAUAACCAGAUCAAUACAACUUCUUCUGUUACCAAUGAUGUAUUUUUUUUUUUCGCUACUAAACAGCAAAUGGCUCUUGGUUCUAAUCUUGCCAUACAACGUUUCCAUUUAUGCUAGUUAAAUUUGAAAUCUGUACUGUUAGUGAAAUGCAGAAAUGUUUUGAAUUCUGAAAAUGUUAAGUGAGUGUCAGUGCUAAAGUAUAGGCAUUUCUUUAAGUGUGGCACAGGCAGUUGGUGUGUGCUGGAAUAUACCCCACCAUUAUCUUGAUUUCCUCAUCCUUGCCUGUCUUUUGCAGUUAAAUCUGUUCCUUUCCUUACAUUUUCAGAUGGCCACUAUAGAAAAUCUGCAACUAAAUGAGCUGGAGCUUUCUUUACAUAAAGUUUGAAAUGCAGGCUUAGUCACAGAGAAGGCACACUAAAUCACUGCCCAAUACUCUAUUAUAACCCUGUGUUUGACUAAAAUUGGCUUAAAGAUGUGGCCCUGCUCAGGGAUUUAGCUCCUGACCUCUUUUCUGAAUGCCAUGUCUCUGCUCUGUUUCUUCACUCUUGUUCUCAGAGAAACUUACUAAAAUAUAAUUUAAAAAGUCUGAAGAAAGUCUGCUGUCAGAAACAUCCUUACAGCAUUCUUCUUUCAUGAAUUUUAUAUACAAUUUCCAUUUUAUUAAUUAGCAUCUACUUUACUACUGUCACUGUUUGAACUUGAAGAUGUAAUCUGAGAUGAUUAGCUGUCUCUAGCCGUGGGAGCAGACAGCUCAUAUAUGCAAGACAGAACAGAAGAAGGAUCAGUGUCACUUCUCUGCACAAGUCUGGUGUGUUCCCUUAAUCCUGACUGCAGAGGCUCCUGGUGCAUGUCACAGGACACCAGCCAUU